RNAcentral lists this ribosomal RNA (362 nucleotides) under Microbacterium sp. R10.35. RNAcentral describes it as "bacterial SSU rRNA". It matches the Rfam family "Bacterial small subunit ribosomal RNA", at positions 133 to 507 of the family's 1533-position model. The record is from RNAcentral. Lineage: Bacteria; Bacillati; Actinomycetota; Actinomycetes; Micrococcales; Microbacteriaceae.
UGACUCUGGGAUAAGCGCUGGAAACGGCGUCUAAUACUGGAUACGAACCACGAAGGCAUCUUCAGUGGUUGGAAAGAUUUAUUGGUUGGGGAUGGGCUCGCGGCCUAUCAGCUUGUUGGUGAGGUAAUGGCUCACCAAGGCGUCGACGGGUAGCCGGCCUGAGAGGGUGACCGGCCACACUGGGACUGAGACACGGCCCAGACUCCUACGGGAGGCAGCAGUGGGGAAUAUUGCACAAUGGGCGCAAGCCUGAUGCAGCAACGCCGCGUGAGGGAUGACGGCCUUCGGGUUGUAAACCUCUUUUAGCAGGGAAGUAAGCGAAAGUGACGGUACCUGCAGAAAAAGCGCCGGCUAACUACGUG